This 773-nucleotide ribosomal RNA is filed under the name Streptococcus anginosus. RNAcentral describes it as "bacterial SSU rRNA". It matches the Rfam family "Bacterial small subunit ribosomal RNA", at positions 28 to 776 of the family's 1533-position model. Lineage: Bacteria; Bacillati; Bacillota; Bacilli; Lactobacillales; Streptococcaceae. The record is from RNAcentral.
GACGAACGCUGGCGGCGUGCCUAAUACAUGCAAGUAGGACGCACAGUUUAUACCGUAGCUUGCUACACCAUAGACUGUGAGUUGCGAACGGGUGAGUAACGCGUAGGUAACCUGCCUAUUAGAGGGGGAUAACUAUUGGAAACGAUAGCUAAUACCGCAUAACAGUAUGUAACACAUGUUAGAUGCUUGAAAGAUGCAAUUGCAUCGCUAGUAGAUGGACCUGCGUUGUAUUAGCUAGUAGGUAGGGUAAAGGUCUACCUAGGCAACGAUACAUAGCCGACCUGAGAGGGUGAUCGGCCACACUGGGACUGAGACACGGCCCAGACUCCUACGGGAGGCAGCAGUAGGGAAUCUUCGGCAAUAGGGGGAACCCUGACCGAGCAACGCCGCGUGAGUGAAGAAGGUUUUCGGAUCGUAAAGCUCUGUUGUUAAGGAAGAACGAGUGUGAGAAUGGAAAGUUCAUGCUGUGACGGUACUUAACCAGAAAGGGACGGCUAACUACGUGCCAGCAGCCGCGGUAAUACGUAGGUCCCGAGCGUUGUCCGGAUUUAUUGGGCGUAAAGCGAGCGCAGGCGGUUAGAAAAGUCUGAAGUGAAAGGCAGUGGCUCAACCAUUGUAGGCUUUGGAAACUGUUUAACUUGAGUGCAGAAGGGGAGAGUGGAAUUCCAUGUGUAGCGGUGAAAUGCGUAGAUAUAUGGAGGAACACCGGUGGCGAAAGCGGCUCUCUGGUCUGUAACUGACGCUGAGGCUCGAAAGCGUGGGGAGCGAACAGG